AUUGAACGCUGGCGGCAUGCCUAACACAUGCAAGUCGAACGGUAACGCGGAGAGCUUGCUCUCUGGCGACGAGUGGCGGACGGGUGAGUAAUACUUAGGAAUCUGCCCAGUAGUGGGGGACAACUCGGGGAAACUCGAGCUAAUACCGCAUACGCCCUACGGGGGAAAGCGGGGGAUCUUCGGACCUCGCGCUAUUGGAUGAGCCUAAGUCGGAUUAGCUUGUUGGUGAGGUAAUAGCUCACCAAGGCGACGAUCCGUAGCUGGUCUGAGAGGACGAUCAGCCACACUGGGACUGAGACACGGCCCAGACUCCUACGGGAGGCAGCAGUGGGGAAUAUUGGACAAUGGGCGCAAGCCUGAUCCAGCAAUGCCGCGUGUGUGAAGAAGGCCUGCGGGUUGUAAAGCACUUUCAGUAGAGAAGAAAAGCCUAGGGUUAAUACCCCUGAGUCUUGACGUAACCUACAGAAGAAGCACCGGCUAACUCCGUG
Molecule: ribosomal RNA, 488 nt
Filed under: uncultured Gammaproteobacteria bacterium
Lineage: Bacteria; Pseudomonadati; Pseudomonadota; Gammaproteobacteria
Description: bacterial SSU rRNA
Rfam family: Bacterial small subunit ribosomal RNA
Source: RNAcentral